Molecule: long non-coding RNA, 687 nt
Organism: Cynoglossus semilaevis (tongue sole)
Lineage: Eukaryota; Metazoa; Chordata; Actinopteri; Pleuronectiformes; Cynoglossidae
Exons: 2
Source: RefSeq, a predicted model, not a curated record
AGCCUUACCAUCGUAAAAAUAUCCAUAAAAAUAAAAAGUCCCCGAAAUGCCUUAAAAUGCAAGACUAUGUGCCACAUGUUAGCACAAACAAACAGGUUUUCCUUAAAAGCAGCUACAAAGUAGUCACUCUUACAGUGCAAAGUCUGUUGCACAACUAAAUGUUUACACAUCACUAUCAUCAGUAACAGUACAAACUCAAUGUUUUAAACACUUCAUCACUACAUAAAGGCCUUUGUUUGUCAGAACAGCUCAGGGGUCAAGCACUCUGACAAUGGUACCAGGCUUCAAAUUGAAAUGCAUUAGAAAAAACACCUGGUACCAGGUGUUACCAGGUGAGGGCUUUCACUUUUUUUUUUUUAUAUAUAGCUGAAGAAACCUUUGAUGACAUGUAUGAGUUUCAUUAUGAGCUGAGUGUGUGACUGGAUGGUGCAGCGGAAUAGAACACAGACUGUGACUCUGUGGACCUGGGUUCAAUCCCCGGGCUGGGCAACAAUUGUUAUACUCUGCACUUAGUACUAUGGCUUUUUCUUAAGAGCAUGAACUGGUUUCACCAACCAGUAGAAGUUCCAAAUAGGACAUUCUCCAUGGCAAUAUAGCCCAGAGGAUAAGUCCUCGGACUUUGGUCCCAGGAGCGCAAGUUCAAAUCCAGGCCUGGCAGAUACAAUUUUAUUUUGUACCAGGUACCUG